GAAAGAUUUGAAAGAAAAAUAGCAUGUCUAUUCCACCUUCCACACUUGUUCUUUCGACUCAACAUGAACCACCUCACAUCACCACGCGACCUUGUGCAAAUUUUCCUCCAAGCUUUUCGGGUGAUAAUUUCCUUCAGUAUCAUUCACAUUCACUGCAUUUGCUCAAGGGAUGCACCACCAUCUGCUCACAUCCACACGGAUGAUCAUUGCAAGACAAGA
RNAcentral lists this small RNA (219 nucleotides) under Vigna angularis var. angularis. RNAcentral describes it as "Non-protein coding transcript". Lineage: Eukaryota; Viridiplantae; Streptophyta; Magnoliopsida; Fabales; Fabaceae. The record is from RNAcentral.